This 315-nucleotide unclassified non-coding RNA is filed under the name plant metagenome. Its description in RNAcentral is "partial contains 5.8S ribosomal RNA, internal transcribed spacer 2, and large subunit ribosomal RNA". The stretch from base 1 to 105 matches the Rfam family "5.8S ribosomal RNA", at positions 50 to 154 of the family's 154-position model. The record is from RNAcentral.
GAACUGCGAUAAGUAAUGUGAAUUGCAGAAUUCAGUGAAUCAUCAAGUCUUUGAACGCACAUUGCGCCCCCUGGCAUUCCGGGGGGCAUGCCUGUCCGAGCGUCAUUGCUGCCCUUCAAGCCCGGCUUGUGUGUUGGGUCGUCGUCCCCUCCGGGGGACGGGCCCGAAAGGCAGCGGCGGCACCGCGUCCGGUCCUCGAGCGUAUGGGGCUUUGUCACCCGCUCGAUAAGGACCGGCCGGGCGCCAGCCGGCGUCUCCAACCUUUUUUUCUCAGGUUGACCUCGGAUCAGGUAGGGAUACCCGCUGAACUUAAGC